AAAUGAAAUAAUUUAAUUAAGGAGAUAACAAACAAGAGUUCAACACCAGUACCAAGACAAUUUUCAACUUUGAUUAAUGAGUUUGUCCAUUGGCCAGCCUGCCAUGUGUCUAGAUUAACAGCAUUUUUGCAUACUACAAGUCAAUGCAACCAUAAAACAAACACGUGAAGAACAAUCCACAAUCAUUUUCAAGAAAAGAAGAAAAUAGUGGCCAAGAACUCAAGAUUUGAAUCUUUGAUGUCACGCAUUACAGUACAAGAAUUUAAUCCUUAUGCUACUAACCCAAUGCAUAAUUUCAGAAAUUCUGUCAGGAUGAUACACAUGAUUACUCUACCCUGAAACUCUCAUCUGAAAGAAUUUUAUCAUUGAUCUUUGCCCUCAUGCAUUACGAGGAAGAUUGAGAAAGGGAAUGAAGUUAUCAACACUUUGAAUACUACCACUGAUUUACAAUGCCUCCCAGGAAGGAUUGCCUUGGCUGAUCCUGUCAAGUCCAGAUGCAUUGUGUGCAUCAAAGAAAUUAUAGGAAGGAAGCACCAGUUUUAUUUAACUAUAACACCUUCAUUUGCUUCAACAUCCAUUGUUUUACUCUACAAUCUUAAGAAUUACCAGAAGUUAUACAUUCACACAUUAAAGAGCAUAAAUUCGAUCAACUUCUGAAUUGGAGAAGUCAGAGUGUUGCCAUGAGUUGGAUCCACUUCUUCUUGCAGACUUCUCCCUCUUCCUCAUUGAGCGAAUCCUCUUGGACUUCACCACAUAAUAAGUCAUUGUGCCAAGAACCCCAGCCAUAAUCACUCCCCCUACAACUGUAACCAAAAUAGCAGCCCACUUGUGUUUCCGGCCAACUACUAUAUAAGAUGAGGCUAUAAAUGCAACUGAAGUGCACACAGAAGCCAACCACAUUAAUUUAUUAAUGACCUCCACUACCCGUCUCUCUGCUUUUGUCUCACCUCUAACCAGUGUAAUUUGAACAACCACAACAGCCAAUGAGGUAAAGAGAGCAAUAGCAUUAAAGAUGAAGAAAAUUUUGAAAGAUGCAGAGCUCACCACCACUGCCAUCCCACUAUCUUCAUCACCACCCGGUACAGUAAAUAUGGCCGCAAAGGCCACUGUUGCAAAUAGCACGGCCACCACUGUCACUGAGUUGGUAGCAUUGUUGAUCCCUUCCCGGUGUAGCUUCCUGAGCUCUUUAGAAAUAUUGUGAACAUUCUUGUUGGUUUUUCUGGUUUGUUCAAGCUGGGUGUGAACAUCUUUCUUAAUUUGAGUUACGGUUUUCCUCAACUCAUCCCUUGGUUGGUUGAGUUCAUUAGCUCUAAGAGCUCCAUAUUUAUAAAGACACUCUUUUAGUUCUGAUGAUUCUUCUGAGAGGGUAAGGCCUUCUGCGAUGUCAAGAGCUGUUUUAUGGUCUCUUGUCAGCGCAUUCACAUUUGUGUCAGGAAGUAAUAACAACUCAUUCACUAUCUCCACUCGUUUCUUCCUAGUUGCCACAUGCAAUGCUGUGUUACCAAAUUUGUCUGGAAGCAUCACAAUAGCAGCAUCUGCAUCGAGAAGCAAUUUAACUACCUCACAGCUCUGCCCUUUUACAGCCAUAUGCAAAGCAGUCUGCCCUUUCUUGUCAGUCCUUCGUGCCAACUGUGAAUCCUUGCUGAGCAAUGCUUUUACAACAUCUACAUGCCCCUGUCUGGCAGCUAAAUGCAAUGCAUUUUUGCCAUUGGAUCUAGAAACCUCCAAUAAGCUACCAUCCUUUGACAGCAAUUCAAUGACUACUGCAGUAUGCCCCCUUGUAGCUGCAGAUACAAGUGGGGUUGCAUUUGAUGGACCAUAUGUUUGACUCAGGCUUGGGUCAUGAUCUAGGAGCACUUGGACAAUGGCUGCAAUAAAAGAAUCAUCAUGAAUUACUUUGCUAAUUUGUAAUGAGAACUGUCAAUAAUAGGAACAUAACUUCUACAGCUGGUGUCAUUCAUAAAAAAUAUAAUAUACAUCUGGGCAGGCAUUCAAACUUUACUAUAAUUACAGUGAAACAAGUUCUGCAACCAAAUUGUUCCUAGUUGCUCUUUGAGAUGGAGUCGAAGAUGGAAAGAGAUUCUCAAAAUGGAAGAUUGCAAUCCUUAUCAUUUAAAAGAAAUCAUGGAGGUGCAAUGCAAGUACAGCAAUGCACUUGGAAAGCCACCUUAUAUGUUCAUUAUGUUUCAGAAUAAUACUUCUGUUUUCCGUGAGACUUAAAACUGAACCAAAGCCACUAUUUGCAAUAACCAUAACUCAUUACUUGUCGUAGCAUGACUAAUUGACCAUAGGUGAUUCCCCUUAAACAAUUUCUUGCGCAUGCUCAAAUUGUACUUCCUCAAGACAAUAGAAGACUAUAAAGCUCCCGCUGUUUUUCCCCCUUUUCCUCCCUUUUCUUCUUGUCACAAAGCUACCUUUUCUUAUUUGUUAAAUAAGUGUAUUUUAUGAAUCUACAAACUGCUUAUCGUAUGCUAUGGCAACACUGUCAUUUCUAGGUCCUCAGACAGAGAGAUCCAAUUUUUACUAUUGACAUAGGAAUCAUACAUCUAAUAUAAUGAUCUUCUGCUCUAAUUAAGCAUUAUCUCAUGGCAGACACAGCCUUCACACAGCUGCAAGAAAUGAAGUGGAAAACAGUAAAAAUUACUUGGCACUAUGAUUUCCACAGGUCAACUGUGCUUCACAGUCACUAAAUACAUCUGAUUCAAUUAAGUUCAAACUAGUUCAUGUAAGAACUAAAACUAAAGAUUCUUCUCAUUGAUUCACAAAAGUAUCUAAGCAAUACAUAAGGCAAAUUAUCCAUACCUCAUGUAACUUCUAGCAUAAUUUACAGUAUAAAUCACAGAUCAUACAAACGUUAGAUGCUUUGGUUAACAUGUUCCUCAAAAAUUGAUGUGCUACCUUAUUUGUGAAUUAACAACCAAAUCAAGAUCAACCACUUCAUAUAAAAAAAAUAUAUAAUUAAAAGAAAGGCUCAAGAACAUCACCAUGGUGGCCUUGCACAGCAGCGAUAUGCAAAGGAUCGAAGCCUGAUCUAUUCUUCCUUGCAAUGCACUCUCUACUUGAAUAUUUUAACAACUCCUUUACCACCUCAAGAUGCCCUUUAUCUGCAGCAGUAAACAGUGCUGUCUCCCCCAACUCAUUCACCUCAUUCACUACUGAUGCCCUUAUUUCAGCAACCUCUGUAUCAAAAUCCUCCCCACUCAAAGUCCCCACCAGUUGUGAAUCAAUAUCAUUAAGAAUCUGCUUUACAGCUGCCAAAUCACCAUGUUGAGCUGCCAAGUGCAGUUCAGUGUCAUUAUGGCGCCCAGUUACUUGUUUUACAUACUUCUUUUUUCCUGCUUGAUCAAUCCGUUUUCCAGAGUUGGAUAGAACUAGGGCCGGAGCCGAUGAAGUUGAGGAUGGCGAUGGUGUUGGAGAGGAUUCAGCAAGAGGGUUUUGGUUUAGAUGUGGAGGCAUUAGUCCCUUUUCUAAGUCCCUCUCUCCCCCCUCUUCAAUAGGAGAGGCCAUGAUUUCUUGAAAAUUUCUUGGUAGUGAAAGAAAUAAAGAGACCUAAGGGGUCAUCAAAUGGAAGAAAGCGAGAGAAAGUAAGAAGGUACAGAGAAGGAUCGUAAGGGCUCGAGUGGAGAUUGUUUGUUUCUUGGAAUUUUUGGCUUCCACAAUUAUUCUUUUACAAGUCCACUUUUCCACUUUAACGCUAGCGAUCAACUCCAUCACCACUCUCACUUUCAAUCCCCUGCUGCGCUCUUUCGUCGAGCUUUCUCAUUAUUAAUAUUUUUUUCAUAUAAUAUUAAAUUGACAU
RNAcentral lists this unclassified non-coding RNA (3799 nucleotides) under Hevea brasiliensis (rubber tree). Lineage: Eukaryota; Viridiplantae; Streptophyta; Magnoliopsida; Malpighiales; Euphorbiaceae. The record is from RNAcentral.